This 77-nucleotide transfer RNA is filed under the name Novimethylophilus kurashikiensis. Its description in RNAcentral is "tRNA-Pro". It matches the Rfam family "tRNA". From Rfam's summary of the family: Transfer RNA (tRNA) molecules are approximately 80 nucleotides in length. Lineage: Bacteria; Pseudomonadati; Pseudomonadota; Betaproteobacteria; Nitrosomonadales; Methylophilaceae. RNAcentral also lists the same sequence under 5 other names. The record is from RNAcentral.
CGGGAUGUAGCGCAGCCUGGUAGCGCACUUGCAUGGGGUGCAAGGGGUCGCGAGUUCGAAUCCCGCCAUCCCGACCA